UACGGGAGGCAGCAGUGGGGAAUAUUGCACAAUGGGCGCAAGCCUGAUGCAGCAACGCCGCGUGAGGGACGACGGCCUUCGGGUUGUAAACCUCUUUUAGUAGGGAAGAAGCGAAAGUGACGGUACCUGCAGAAAAAGCACCGGCUAACUACGUGCCAGCAGCCGCGGUAAUACGUAGGGUGCAAGCGUUGUCCGGAAUUAUUGGGCGUAAAGAGCUCGUAGGCGGUUUGUCGCGUCUGCUGUGAAAUCCCGAGGCUCAACCUCGGGCCUGCAGUGGGUACGGGCAAACUAGAGUGUGGUAGGGGAGAUUGGAACUCCUGGUGUAGCGGUGGAAUGCGCAGAUAUCAGGAAGAACACCGAUGGCGAAGGCAGAUCUCUGGGCCAUUACUGACGCUGAGGAGCGAAAGCGUGGGGAGCGAACAGGAUUAGAUACCCUGGUAGUCCACGCCGUAAACGUUGGGAACUAGAUGUAGGGUCCAUUCCACGGAUUCUGUGUCGCAGCUAACGCAUUAAGUUCCCCGCCUGGA
Molecule: ribosomal RNA, 527 nt
Filed under: uncultured Actinomycetes bacterium
Lineage: Bacteria; Bacillati; Actinomycetota; Actinomycetes
Description: bacterial SSU rRNA
Rfam family: Bacterial small subunit ribosomal RNA
Source: RNAcentral